RNAcentral lists this ribosomal RNA (372 nucleotides) under uncultured organism. Its description in RNAcentral is "partial 16S ribosomal RNA". It matches the Rfam family "Bacterial small subunit ribosomal RNA", at positions 527 to 896 of the family's 1533-position model. The record is from RNAcentral.
GUAGGUGGCAAGCGUUGUCCGGAAUUAUUGGGCGUAAAGCGCGCGCAGGCGGUUCUUUAAGUCUGAUGUGAAAGCCCACGGCUCAACCGUGGAGGGUCAUUGGAAACUGGAGAACUUGAGUACAGAAGAGGAAAGCGGAAUUCCACGUGUAGCGGUGAAAUGCGUAGAGAUGUGGAGGAACACCAGUGGCGAAGGCGGCUUUCUGGUCUGUAACCGACGCUGAGGCGCGACAGCGUGGGGAGCAAACAGGGAUUAGAUACCCUGGUAGUCCACGCCGUAAACGAUGAGUGCUAAGUGUUAGGGGGUUUCCGCCCCCUUAGUGCUGCAGCUAACGCAUUAAGCACUCCGCCUGGGGAUACGGCCGCAAGGCUG